RNAcentral lists this ribosomal RNA (620 nucleotides) under Anaplasma phagocytophilum. RNAcentral describes it as "bacterial SSU rRNA". It matches the Rfam family "Bacterial small subunit ribosomal RNA", at positions 827 to 1447 of the family's 1533-position model. Lineage: Bacteria; Pseudomonadati; Pseudomonadota; Alphaproteobacteria; Rickettsiales; Anaplasmataceae. The record is from RNAcentral.
GAUAAUUUAUCUCCGUGUUGUAGCUAACGCGUUAAGCACUCCGCCUGGGGACUACGGUCGCAAGACUAAAACUCAAAGGAAUUGACGGGGACCCGCACAAGCGGUGGAGCAUGUGGUUUAAUUCGAUGCAACGCGAAAAACCUUACCACUCCUUGACAUGGAGAUUAGAUCCUUCUUAACAGAAGGGCGCAGUUCGGCUGGAUCUCGCACAGGUGCUGCAUGGCUGUCGUCAGCUCGUGUCGUGAGAUGUUGGGUUAAGUCCCGCAACGAGCGUAACCCUCAUCCUUAGUUGCCAGCGGGUAAGCCGGGCACUUUAAGGAAACUGCCGGUGGUAAACCGGAGGAAGGUGGGGAUGAUGUCAAGUCAGCACGGCCCUUAUGGGGUGGGCUACACACGUGCUACAAUGGUGACUACAAUAGGUUGCAAUGUCGCAAGCCUGAGCUAAUCCGUAAAAGUCAUCUCAGUUCGGAUUGUCCUCUGCAACUCGAGGGCAUGAAGCCGGAAUCGCUAGUAAUCGUGGAUCAGCAUGCCACGGUGAAUACGUUCUCGGGUCUUGUACACACUGCCCGUCACGCCAUGGGAAUUGGCUUAACUCGAAGCUGGUGCGCUAACCGAAAGGA